UACGUAGGGUGCGAGCGUUGUCCGGAAUUACUGGGCGUAAAGAGCUCGUAGGUGGUUUGUCGCGUUGUUCGUGAAAACUCACAGCUUAACUGUGGGCGUGCGGGCGAUACGGGCAGACUGGAGUACUGCAGGGGAGACUGGAAUUCCUGGUGUAGCGGUGGAAUGCGCAGAUAUUAGCAGGAACACCGGUGGCGAAGGCGGCUAUCUGGACGACAACUGACGCUGAGGCGCGAAAGCGUGGGGGAUCAAACAGG
This 254-nucleotide ribosomal RNA is filed under the name uncultured bacterium. Its description in RNAcentral is "partial 16S ribosomal RNA". It matches the Rfam family "Bacterial small subunit ribosomal RNA", at positions 524 to 776 of the family's 1533-position model. The record is from RNAcentral.